UUGGUUCUUCUCUCUGCAAUUCGCUCACGCGUCGUCGCUUUCACAUACAAAACCCAUUGCCUCAUUCUCCACACCAUCACUCCUGGCGAUGAAUGACCAGCCUCCUUCCUCAUACGACUCCAUCUACGUCCCUCCCACCACCUCCUCUGCUCUGUCAUCACUAUCCCCAAUUAUACCUCCCCUGCAAUCGGCUCCAAGUUCCGCGAAACCAGACUGCUUCUGCCGCUGCUAUUCUCAAUCGGAGGAGCAGCACAAGUGGUGUUCUGGCGUACAACUAGACUCAACAGCAGCAGGCGCAGUUGCAAAAGCUCAAGCUUCAGCAGCCUUCUGCUUAAGACGACGUCGUUUCUGAAGAAGGCUCUGAUCGUGAAGCUGAGUUGUAGUCGCAUUCGUUGAGAUUUGUAUAUGUGAAUUGUGUGCUCGUGGAGUUGUUAAUUGGGAAAUCCUUGUGUUUACUAAGUGUGAAUUGGUAAUUGGGUUUCAAUUAAGAUGUAAAUAAAUGGAGUGGUACUAGAAGAGAAGCAGAUGAUGAACGGGUUCAAUAAUCUUGUUCCAAGACAAUUUAUAAAUAUGGGAAGGGCUGAGAAAAAUGAGCUUUCACAGUGUUCUCAUGAAGGCUGCAAAUCUCAAGAUUGUUCCGGGUCGCCCUUGCAAAACGACAUGGUCGAGUCCGUGGAGUGCUGCAAGAGUACUAAUAAUCAUGUUCACUAGGAUAUUAAUGGAAGAAGUAACACUGCUGGGGGAGAAGAUUGCCCUGACCAAGAAUUUAAUAGGUAGAUUUCUAAGAAGGUUCCCAAGUUGAUAAGCACUAGAGAAGUGGAUCAACCCUCAUCUGAAACCAUGUCCAUGAUUAAAAAAAGCUCGUGUUUCAGUUUGAGCAUGAUCUGAAGCUUUCAUGGUAUGAAUCUAGCUACCUUGACAUCUGCUUGACUAAUAUAUAGUGUGUAUCUACAUAUAAAAUGUUACUUCACUCGGGAAAUGUUUUCUCUAGGCUAUCUAAUUUGUCAAUUGUGUACUUAUUUCAUAGGUCAAGUUGAUAUAUAACAACAUUAAUCUGUAUUUCAACUUGAAUUUUAGUAGCGUGAUCAUGAAUUUCUUUUUCAA
Long non-coding RNA from Pyrus x bretschneideri (Chinese white pear), 1104 nucleotides. RefSeq lists it as uncharacterized. The transcript is spliced from 2 exons. The record is from RefSeq and is a predicted model, not a curated record. NCBI's taxonomy places the organism in Eukaryota, Viridiplantae, Streptophyta, Magnoliopsida, Rosales, Rosaceae.